UAACACGAACUGUGCGAACGUUAUUCGGAAUCACUGGGCUUAAAGGGUGCGUAGGCGGCUAAGUAGGUCAGAUGUGAAAGCCCACGGCUCAACCGUGGAAUUGCGUUUGAAACCCCUUAGCUUGAGUAAGAUAGAGGUAAGCGGAACUGAUGGUGGAGCGGUGAAAUGCGUUGAUAUCAUCAGGAACACCGGUGGCGAAGGCGGCUUACUGGGUCUUUACUGACGCUGAGGCACGAAAGCUAGGGGAGCGAACGGGAUUAGAUACCCCGGUAGUCCUAGCUGUAAACGAUGAGCACUAGCUCGUGUCCCCUCCCACAAGGGCUCGGGCGUAGCGAAAGUGUUAAGUGCUCCGCCUGGGGAGUAUGGUCGCAAGGCUG
Molecule: ribosomal RNA, 377 nt
Filed under: uncultured Planctomycetota bacterium
Lineage: Bacteria; Pseudomonadati; Planctomycetota
Description: bacterial SSU rRNA
Rfam family: Bacterial small subunit ribosomal RNA
Source: RNAcentral